RNAcentral lists this transfer RNA (67 nucleotides) under Loxodonta africana (African savanna elephant). It matches the Rfam family "tRNA". Rfam says of the family: Transfer RNA (tRNA) molecules are approximately 80 nucleotides in length. Their secondary structure includes four short double-helical elements and three loops (D, anti-codon, and T loops). Further hydrogen bonds mediate the characteristic L-shaped molecular structure. tRNAs have two regions of fundamental functional importance: the anti-codon, which is responsible for specific mRNA codon recognition, and the 3' end, to which the tRNAs corresponding amino acid is attached (by aminoacyl-tRNA synthetases). tRNAs cope with the degeneracy of the genetic code in two manners: having more than one tRNA (with a specific anti-codon) for a particular amino acid; and 'wobble' base-pairing, i.e. permitting non-standard base-pairing at the 3rd anti-codon position. Lineage: Eukaryota; Metazoa; Chordata; Mammalia; Proboscidea; Elephantidae. The record is from Rfam by way of RNAcentral.
UGGUUUAUUGUUUAGUAGUAGAAUUCUCGCCUUCCAUGCGGGAGACCUGGGUUCGAUUCCCGGCCAA